RNAcentral lists this ribosomal RNA (251 nucleotides) under uncultured prokaryote. Its description in RNAcentral is "partial 16S rRNA". It matches the Rfam family "Bacterial small subunit ribosomal RNA", at positions 525 to 775 of the family's 1533-position model. The record is from RNAcentral.
ACGGGGGUGGCGAGCGUUGUCCGGAAUCACUAGGCGUAAAGGGCAAGUAGGCGGAAUAAUAAGUCGGAUGUCAAAUCCACCGGCUCAACCGGUGACCGGCAUUCGAUACUGUUGUUCUAGAGUAAGGUAGAGGAAGACGGAAUUCCUGGUGUAGCGGUGGAAUGCGCAGAUAUCAGGAAGAACACCAGUGGCGAAGGCGGUCUUCUGGGCCAUUACUGACGCUAAAUUGCGAAGGUGCGGGUAUCAAACAG